GACGAACGCUGGCGGCGUGCUUAACACAUGCAAGUCGAACGGAAAGGCCCUGCUUUUGUGGGGUGCUCGAGUGGCGAACGGGUGAGUAACACGUGAGUAACCUGCCCUUGACUUUGGGAUAACUUCAGGAAACUGGGGCUAAUACCGGAUAGGAGCUCCUGCUGCAUGGUGGGGGUUGGAAAGUUUCGGCGGUUGGGGCUGGACUCGCGGCUUAUCAGCUGGUUGGUGGGGUAGUGGCUUACCAAGGCUGUGACGGGUAGCCGGCCUGAGAGGGUGACCGGCCACAUUGGGACUGAGAUACGGCCCAGACUCCUACGGGAGGCAGCAGUGGGGAAUAUUGCACAAUGGGCGGAAGCCUGAUGCAGCAACGCCGCGUGCGGGAUGACGGCCUUCGGGUUGUAAACCGCUUUCGCCUGUGACGAAGCGUGAGUGACGGUAAUGGGUAAAGAAGCACCGGCUAACUACGUG
RNAcentral lists this ribosomal RNA (468 nucleotides) under uncultured bacterium. RNAcentral describes it as "partial 16S ribosomal RNA". It matches the Rfam family "Bacterial small subunit ribosomal RNA", at positions 28 to 507 of the family's 1533-position model. The record is from RNAcentral.